GGUGUGUUAGCUUAAUUGGUUGAGCAUUGUGCUACGGUCACAAAGAAUACAGGUUCGAAUCUUGUACACACUU
RNAcentral lists this transfer RNA (73 nucleotides) under Spathularia flavida. RNAcentral describes it as "tRNA-Arg". It matches the Rfam family "tRNA". From Rfam's summary of the family: Transfer RNA (tRNA) molecules are approximately 80 nucleotides in length. Lineage: Eukaryota; Fungi; Ascomycota; Leotiomycetes; Rhytismatales; Cudoniaceae. The record is from RNAcentral.